GGUACAUCGGUGACAGGUGGUGCAUGGUUGUCGUCAGCUCGUGUCGUGAGAUGUUGGGUUAAGUCCCGCAACGAGCGCAACCCCUAUUGUUAGUUGCCAUCAUUCAGUUGGGCACUCUAGCGAGACUGCCGGUAAUAAACCGGAGGAAGGUGGGGAUGACGUCAAAUCAUCAUGCCCCUUAUGACCUGGGCUACACACGUGCUACAAUGGUUGGUACAACGAGUUGCGAGUCGGUGACGGCGAGCUAAUCUCUUAAAGCCAAUCUCAGUUCGGAUUGUAGGCUGCAACUCGCCUACAUGAAGUCGGAAUCGCUAGUAAUCGCGGAUCAGCACGCCGCGGUGAAUACGUUCCCGGGCCUU
Molecule: ribosomal RNA, 359 nt
Filed under: uncultured Streptococcus sp.
Lineage: Bacteria; Bacillati; Bacillota; Bacilli; Lactobacillales; Streptococcaceae
Description: bacterial SSU rRNA
Rfam family: Bacterial small subunit ribosomal RNA
Source: RNAcentral